This 468-nucleotide ribosomal RNA is filed under the name uncultured bacterium. RNAcentral describes it as "partial 16S ribosomal RNA". It matches the Rfam family "Bacterial small subunit ribosomal RNA", at positions 28 to 507 of the family's 1533-position model. The record is from RNAcentral.
GACGAACGCUGGCGGCGUGCUUAACACAUGCAAGUCGAACGGACAGGCCCUGCGUUUGUGGGGUGCUCGUUUGGCGAACGGGUGAGUAACACGCGAGUAUCCUGCCCUUGUCUUUGUGAUAGCUUCAGGAAACUCGGGCUAAUACCCGAUAGGAGCUCCUGCUCCAUGGUGGGGAUUGGAAAGUUUCGGCGGUUUUGGCUGGAUUGGCGGCUUAUCCGCUUGUUGGUCUGGUAGUUGCUUACCAAGGCUUUGACGGGUAGCCGGCCUGAGAGGGUGACCGGCCACAUUGGGACUGAGGUACGGACCAGAAUCCUACGGGAGGCAGCAGUGGGGAAUAUUGCACAAUGGGCGGACGCCUGAGGUAGCGGCGCCGCGUGCGGGAUGACGGCCUUCGGGGUGUAAACAGCUUUCGCCUGUGACGAAGCGUGAGUGACGGUACUGGGUAAAGAAGCACCGGCUAACUACGUG